AUAAACAACAUCAACUCAAGGAUCUCAUCUCUUUUUCUUCAACAAAUGGAGCAACCUUUCAGGGUCUGCAUCUUUUGCAUAAGAACUUUCAUGCACAGGGUGCUUGAACCCCCUGAUGAUGUCAAAAAACUUUUCCAGGACUACUCACAGAAUGGCACCAUGUCAAAGGAUGAUCUACUUAAAUUUCUAUCAAAGGUUCAAGGACAAAACAAUGCCAAGGAAGAAGACGCUGAGGCGAUCUUUAAUAGUCUCAAGCAUCUCAACAUCUUCCCCAGAAAGGGUCUUCAUCUAGAAGCCUUCUAUCGAUAUCUUCUUGGCGACCUGAAUACUCCUCUUUCUCCAUGUGUGCACCAGGACAUGACUGCUCCACUAGCUCAUUAUUUCAUGUACACAGGCCACAACUCUUACCUGUCUGGGAAUCAAUUAAGCAGUAAGAGCGGUGUUAGACCUAUCAAAAAAGCUUUGCAAAAUGGUGUAAGAGUAAUUGAAUUAGAUCUAUGGCCAGCCAGGAACAACAAUGUGGUGGUUCGCCAUGGAGGGACCCUGACAACAUCAGUGAAACUCCUCAGAUGUUUGCGUGCAAUUAAGGAAUUUGCCUUUCAGGUAUCCGAAUAUCCUGUUGUGAUAACGUUUGAAGAUCACCUGACUGCCAAUCUUCAAUAUAAGGUUGCUGAGAUGGUCACUAAAACAUUCGGAGGCAUGCUGUACCGUCCCGAGACAGAUGAAUUAGAGAAAUUAUCACCAGAGUCAUUGAAGAAGAAGAUUUUGAUUUCAACUAAACCGCCAAGAGAGUAUCUUGAAACUCAAGACAGCAACACUCCGCACGAAUCAAAAAAAUCAUCAGAGGAACAAGGGGGUGAUGAGAAGUUGCAUUCUUCAAGAAUUAACCUUUUUAGUUGCUCAUCCAUGUGUUUCGCUAAGCAGGAUCAGAUUGAUGAGGGAGAACAGCUUCAAGGAGAAGAUGAGGAGAUGACAAUACCUAAAUACAGGGAUUUAAUUGCCAUUCCUUCAGGGAAGCCAGAAGGUGGAUUAGAAGAAUGGCUCAGAAUAGAUGAGAAAGAAGUAAAACGUCUGAGCUUGAGUGAGCAAGAACUUGAAAAGGCUACAAGAACAUAUGGAAAAGACAUUGUCAGUUUCACCAAGAACAAUUUGUUGCGGGUAUACCCCAAAGGUACACGCUUGGAUUCAUCUAAUUACGAUCCUUUCGUCGGAUGGAAACAUGGAGCUCAAAUGGUUGCAUUUAAUAUGCAGGGCUAUGGGAACCACCUUCGGAUUAUGCAAGGAAUGUUUAGAGCCAAUGGUGGCUGUGGUUAUGUGAAAAAACCUGAUUUUUUAUUGAGGGAAAAUGAUGAUUUUGAUCCUGGUGUGCCCUCAACAGUUUAUAAAAUAUUGAAGGUGAAAAUCUACUCUGGGGAAGGGUGGCAUUUGGAUUUUCGCCACACACAUUUUGAUCAAUAUUCUCCACCUGACUUCUUGGUAAAAGUUGGAAUUGUUGGGGUCCAUGCUAGUGAAACCAGUAGAACAAAGGUGGUUAAAAACAGCUGGCUACCGGAAUGGAACGAGGAAUUUAAGUUCGAAGUGGCUGCUCCUGAAUUGUCAGUGCUUAGGAUCGAAGUCAAUGACGAUGAUAAAUAUGGAAGUCAUGACUUCGCUGGCCAAACAUAUUUGCCUAUAUCAGAGUUGAGAACUGGUAUUCGAGCAGUUCCGUUGCAUGAUCGUAGAGGAGUGAGAUACAAGAGUGCAAGGCUUCUUAUGAGAUUUGACCUAAAAGACUCCCGAGAAUGUUCCGAGUGACAAAAAUCACGAGAUUGAUCGUCUCCAUUAGCGGAUUGAACCAGGGAGUCUAUUUAGAGGAACUACACUAACCCUUUGUUAGUGAGUAUAUAUUUAAAAUUAUUGGCUCGUGUUGAUCUGCUUUUUACGUAUUUUUAGAGUUUUAAGGGUCAAAAUAAAACACCGAUAAGAUAUCUAUAGGGCUGGGAGCUAUUUUAAGCCAUGGCAUUUGUCAGUAAGGCAUUAAUUGUGAGGCGUAUGGGAUUAUCGAUUCAUGAGAAGGAAUUCAUGGCUAUUUCGAUGGUUGUUGAAAGGUGGAGAUAUUAUUUGGAACAUGAUCAAUUCCUCAUCAAGACUGAUAGUGAAAGUCUGAAAUAUCUCCUGAAGCAGAAGAUACACGCUCCAUUGCAGAGGAAAGAGGUAACUAAGUUGGUGGGUGCUGCUGCACCUGACUCUUACACAGCUUGGUUAUCCAUUAUUGAAACUCUUCUAAGAUUCUCUGUCAACUCCUCUGCGCACCUGCUUUCACCAUGACUGUAGAGUUCUCUUUCAGUGUCUGGAACGCCAUGUCCCUUAUCAAUUUAUGCAUUUUCACAGGACUGUCGCCAUAAAUUCUUUCCAAUAUACAUACAUUUUCAAGUCUAUUAAAACAACGUGAGCCCCACGAAGUAUAAACAUGUUACAAGGAACUAGAUAUUAUCAUUAAUGCAAAAGGUAUAUAGUUAAGUGUGA
Molecule: RNA transcript, 2505 nt
Organism: Populus nigra (black poplar)
Lineage: Eukaryota; Viridiplantae; Streptophyta; Magnoliopsida; Malpighiales; Salicaceae
Gene name: phosphoinositide phospholipase C 1-like
Exons: 9
Source: RefSeq, a predicted model, not a curated record